CACCCCUCAAGCCUGGCUUGGUCUUGGAGGCCGCCCCGCCCCGCGCGGAGCCCCUCUCAAACGCAACCCGACGUGCCUACAUGGACGGAGCGCAGCAACAUGUUGCUCCCCCUGGCACGGCGGCGGCUCUCCGGAGCGACUUCUC
RNAcentral lists this unclassified non-coding RNA (145 nucleotides) under uncultured Ascomycota. RNAcentral describes it as "partial internal transcribed spacer 2". Lineage: Eukaryota; Fungi; Ascomycota. The record is from RNAcentral.